GAACGGUUGUAUACUGUCGUGAUACUACACCCGCCGCACUCGCCCCCUUCUAUGUGCGCGAGCUUUGUGUAUGCUCACGUCGCGCUUGCGCUGUGUAACAAGAAGAGCCAGAAGAAAAAAGACGAGAGAGUGCAUUCGAUUUAAUAAAGCAAGGCAAGAGGUUUUGUAUCAAUAUCGUUUCGGUUCGACGAAAUGAAGAAGGCAGCGUAGGCAACAUGUAUUGGAAUAAGAAAACGAUGUGAAGAGCAGAGCAUGUUUUUAUGACGGGACGCCACAGGGAAGACGCCGAGCCCCCGUCAGUUUAUUUGGGGGAAAAUCGUUGGAGUGGUUCAAUUCCCUGAGUAACAGCUUGGAUGUAAAGGGGACAUUACAUUAAGACAUUCCAAAGAUGCCCAAGAGGUGGACCGCAGCAACGCCAUGCAGCUAUCUCCCUGUCGUCUUGUUGGUGCUAGUUCUGCCCAGGUGUAUACUGUCGAUCCGUGCCGACAAAACCAUCAGCAAGGAAGACCAUGUUACCGCUACGGUCAAUGCCACCGUGCUUGACUCCAAAGGCAAUCCAAAGCAAAUUCUAACCAAGGACGAUGGCACGUACGGCCAGAAUUCACCGAAAGUGGACGCGAAAGGAAUCGUGAUUGGACCUGCACCGAAUCAUGGAGUGGUGGACCGCCAGGGCUGCGACCCCCACACUCGCUUCGUGGUGCCCCCCCGGACAGGGCACUGGGUGGCCCUGCUGCAGCGCGGCAACUGCACCUUCAAAGAGAAGAUCCUCAAGGCCUCCGCUUUCAACGCCUCCGCCGUACUCAUCUACAACAACAACUCCAAUGAGGACACCGUCAAGAUGGGCCAUGAAGGUACGGGUGACACUGUGGCGGUGAUGAUCACUGAGUCGUACGGCAAGGAGAUCCUGGGUCUGCUGGAGAGGAACCUGACGGUGCUGGUGAGUGUGGUGGUGGGCCAGCGUGGCCAGGCCAAGAAUAUCAACCGCGGCUCCCUGGUCUUCGUCUCCAUCUCCUUCAUCGUACUCAUGAUCAUCUCCUCUGCCUGGCUCAUCUUCUACUUCAUCCAGAAGAUACGCUUUACGAACGCACGUGACCGCAGCCAGGUAGGACAUAGACGUCGACUUGGAGAUGCAGCUAAGAAAGCCAUCGGGAAGCUGACAACCAGGACGGUGAAGAAAGGGGACAAGGAGACAGACCCAGACUUCAACCACUGCGCUGUGUGCAUCGAGGGUUACCAGCUCAACGACGUGGUCCGCAUCCUGCCCUGCAAACAUGUCUUCCAUAAGCUGUGUGUGGACCCCUGGCUGAACGAGCACUGUACCUGCCCCAUGUGUAAGCUGAACAUCCUCAAAGCUCUGGGUAUCAUGCCCAACCUGCCGUGCGUGGACAACGCUGGUUUUGACAUGGACCACAGGAUAGGGCGCAGCCAGACGAUGGCCAGCCAGCGGACGGCCUUGGUAGACCUGUCCAGUGAGACAUCCAUCAGCCUGGAGCCUCUGCAACGAGGCCCCCUCGGUACCGGACCCCAGAUCCAAUCCGAGAGCGGAGAACUCACCCCCCGCACCGGAGAGAUCAACAUCGCCGUCACCAAGGAGUGGUUUAUAAUCGCCAGCUUCGGCCUUCUCAGCGCUCUCACAUUGUUCUAUAUGAUCAUCAAGGCCACUGCCAGCUUCUCCAGCCCUGACCUGGAGUGGGAGGAGUAAAGACGAUCACGUGGUUGCCCCUCUUAGACCCUUUCUCUGCCGGAGCCUCGUUGCAAUGUUGCCUUCUUGUGCCAUAUAUUUCUGUAUUGUAUUUGUAAGCUUGUACUACUGUACUUUUCUGUAUUGUUAGUAAUUUUGUUGUUGUAAUAGGGCAAAGCGCUUUGAGACAUUAAACCACUGUGGAUCCCUCCUUUUGACUUGUUAUGUGAAUGUGGCCACUUCUUCAACCGGAACUCCCUGUCCCCGCGCAGUGUGGUCUGUGAGAUGGAGCUUCCCGACAUCCAGGCAUCGCUCGACCUCUACGAUGACAACAAGUCGUGAGGGUCGUCGCCGUGGUUUCGACCCACUGUCUAAGGGACGGAUGGCCUUGUACCUUCCUGCACACCGGCAGCCUUUGUGUGGGAGGGGUGACGGGAGGGUGACGGGCAGCUCAACAACUUAGACGACAACCUUGACUAACUUGUGGAACAUCGACAAUGACAUAACAUCAAAGACCUUUUUCCAAUGCAGAAUGUACUAUUAUUAUAGAGGGGAAAUAGUCAUCCUCUCCUUUCUUUUACACUUUCAUUUAGGAAAAAAAAAUUCUCCAGAGAGACUCUUUGAAAUCUGUUUCUAGAUUAGUAAUGGGGAAUUAACCCUUUCUAGUCUUACUUUGCAGUAUCUCUCUGUAUCGUCCAUUUGAAACGAGCUAGAAAAAAAUGAACAACGGGUUUCAGUGUAGCCUACUGUCAGCAUCCUACAAUACAUCUGUAAGCUAUAUAUGAUUAGCAAACCAUUUUAUUUCGCUUUCUUUGGAUCUUUAUUCGUGAAGGCAACAAUAGAAAAGCAACAAUAGAAAAGCAUACUGUUUCUUCCCUGGCGGACCAGUUGGCUCUGUUGUAUUUACUAUGCUGCCUAAAGGACAGUGGAGAGUACAUUCUGACUUGUGGGCUAUGUCCAGACAUACCCUGUCUCUUCCUCUAUAUGGCCAGUGACUGGUGCAAGAAUAAGACCAGUGGAACAAUGGACAUGCAGCUAUGUGAAUUUCUAAACUCUGUGACAGGCAGUGUUUCUUCUCUGUAGCGAAACCAAUGUGUCUCUGUAUAAAAAAAAUUAUAAUAAUGACACUUUAACGUGUAUUUAAAAAAAAAAACGAUGAAAUACCCACAGCGUGUACUAAUCAGCCCCCCAGUGAGGGGGACCUAGUGUGUAUGUGUGUGUAUAUAUAUAUAUAUACACACACACACAAUCUAUAUCUCUAAAGUGGCCUAUAAAGCAGUUUGUUUUCCUUUCUCAAUCUUGUAAAUGCUUGGGUGGAAGGCUUUGUCCUCUGUUCUUGUUGUCCCUUUGUGUUCUAGUCUUUGCAUCUGAUAUUUGGGAUGAUGAUUGAUGUGACGCGGGGAGGGGAGUGUGUCAGUUUCGGGUCACUGUGUUACAUACAGUACUGCCUCACCAUUAAAAGUGUCAUUAUUGCCUCCGA
Molecule: non-coding RNA, 3161 nt
Organism: Salmo salar (Atlantic salmon)
Lineage: Eukaryota; Metazoa; Chordata; Actinopteri; Salmoniformes; Salmonidae
Source: RefSeq, a predicted model, not a curated record